AUUGAACGCUGGCGGCAGGCCUAACACAUGCAAGUCGAACGGUAACAGGAAACAGCUUGCUGUUUCGCUGACGAGUGGCGGACGGGUGAGUAAUGUCUGGGAAACUGCCUGAUGGAGGGGGAUAACUACUGGAAACGGUAGCUAAUACCGCAUAACGUCGCAAGACCAAAGAGGGGGACCUUCGGGCCUCUUGCCAUCAGAUGUGCCCAGAUGGGAUUAGCUAGUAGGUGGGGUAACGGCUCACCUAGGCGACGAUCCCUAGCUGGUCUGAGAGGAUGACCAGCCGCACUGGAACUGAGACACGGUCCAGACUCCUACGGGAGGCAGCAGUGGGGAAUAUUGCACAAUGGGCGCAAGCCUGAUGCAGCCAUGCCGCGUGUAUGAAGAAGGCCUUCGGGUUGUAAAGUACUUUCAGCGGGGAGGAAGGGAGUAAAGUUAAUACCUUUGCUCAUUGACGUUACCCGCAGAAGAAGCACCGGCUAACUCCGUG
Molecule: ribosomal RNA, 490 nt
Filed under: uncultured bacterium
Lineage: Bacteria
Description: partial 16S ribosomal RNA
Rfam family: Bacterial small subunit ribosomal RNA
Source: RNAcentral